Molecule: ribosomal RNA, 252 nt
Filed under: uncultured Eubacteriales bacterium
Lineage: Bacteria; Bacillati; Bacillota; Clostridia; Eubacteriales
Description: uncultured Clostridiales bacterium partial 16S ribosomal RNA
Rfam family: Bacterial small subunit ribosomal RNA
Source: RNAcentral
GGGCACUCUAAACGAGACUGCCGAUGACAAAUCGGAGGAAGGUGGGGAUGACGUCAAAUCAUCAUGCCCUUUAUGUCCUGGGCUACACACGUGCUACAAUGGUCGGUACAACAAGAAGCAAGUCAGCGAUGGCAAGCAAAUCUCUAAAAGCCGAUCCCAGUUCGGAUUGCAGGCUGCAACUCGCCUGCAUGAAGUCGGAGUUGCUAGUAAUCGCGGAUCAGAAUGCCGCGGUGAAUGCGUUCCCGGGUCCUU